AAACAUGGCUCCUUGUUUUAUUGUAUAUAAGGAGUCGGACCUGCCCAGUGAAANUUUUUAACGGCCGCGGUACCCUAACCGUGCAAAGGUAGCAUAAUCAUUUGCCUUAUAAUUGAAGGCUAGUAUGAAUGGUUUGACAAGAAUAUAGCUGUCUCUUUCUGAUUGGAUAGAAUUUUAUUUAGAGGUGAAGAAGCCUGUAUUAAAUUAAAAGACAAGAAGACCCUAUCGAGCUUUAAAAAAAUUAAUAGACANAAACAAUUAAUGNUGCUUAAAAGAUUANCUAUUAAAAAUUUUAGUUGGGGCGACUGAGGAACAAAAAAAGCUUCCUUUAUANAUAUAAAANUCACACAAGUAUUGAUCCAAAAUAUUUUGAUUAAAGGAAUUAGUUACCGUAGGGAUAACAGCAUUAUCUUCUUUAAGAGCCCUUAUCGAAAAGAAGGUUUGUGACCUCGAUGUUGGACCAGAAUAUCCUAAAGAUGCAGCAGUCUUUAAGGG
This 495-nucleotide ribosomal RNA is filed under the name Cominella tolagaensis. Its description in RNAcentral is "partial 16S ribosomal RNA". It matches the Rfam family "Bacterial large subunit ribosomal RNA", at positions 1811 to 2571 of the family's 2925-position model. The record is from RNAcentral. Lineage: Eukaryota; Metazoa; Mollusca; Gastropoda; Neogastropoda; Buccinidae.